This 286-nucleotide small nuclear RNA is filed under the name Sorex araneus (European shrew). Its description in RNAcentral is "7SK RNA (ENSSARG00000019665.1)". It matches the Rfam family "7SK RNA". Rfam says of the family: 7SK was discovered as an abundant small nuclear RNA in the mid-70s but a possible function has only recently been suggested. Two independent studies have found that 7SK RNA binds the CDK9/cyclin T complex (known as elongation factor P-TEFb). Lineage: Eukaryota; Metazoa; Chordata; Mammalia; Eulipotyphla; Soricidae. The record is from RNAcentral.
GGAUGUGAGAACAAUCGAGCAGUGACUACUAUAACUCUAUUGGUCACUGUAGCUGAUGAGAGCCUCUGUGGGGAUGACUCCCUUCUUCCUUCAAUAAGUCCUGAGAAUCCCUUUUGCACUUGGUUGAUGAAGAAACCCUUCACCAAUAGAGGAAAAUCAUUAUUUGUUCAAUGGUAUAUAGUUGGUGUGCUUUCUCUCAAAAUAAUCUUAAGAUAGAUUUGUCAACUAACAUAGUUAACAUAGUUCUAAGACCACAGCUGAGGCACUGCAUGUGAUAGUCUUUCUU